This 450-nucleotide ribosomal RNA is filed under the name uncultured bacterium. Its description in RNAcentral is "bacterial SSU rRNA". It matches the Rfam family "Bacterial small subunit ribosomal RNA", at positions 355 to 825 of the family's 1533-position model. The record is from RNAcentral.
UCAAGAAACUUCCACAAUGGGCGAAAGCCUGAUGGAGCGACGUCGCGUGAUGGACGAAGUGCUUCGGCACGUAAACAUCUUUUAUGUGGGAUGAAAUUAUUGACAGUACCACAUGAAUAAGGGGCUCCUAACUCUGUGCCAGCAGGAGCGGUAAUACAGAGGCCCCAAGCGUUAUCCGGAAUCACUGGGCGUAAAGGGUGUCGAGGCGGUUGUAUUAGUCGUUCGUAAAAUCUACGAGCUUAACUUGUAGGCGGCGAACGAAACGGUACGACUUGAGGUUUGGAGAGGUGCGUGGAACUCACGGUGUAGGGGUGAAAUCCGUUGAUAUCGUGGGGAACACCAAGGGCGAAGGCAGCGCACUGGCCAAAAUCUGACGCUCACACACGAAAGCUAGGGUAGCGAAGAGGAUUAGAUACCCAAGUAGUCCCUGAGCGGGCUGGCAAGGCGCAU